This 433-nucleotide ribosomal RNA is filed under the name uncultured bacterium. Its description in RNAcentral is "partial 16S ribosomal RNA". It matches the Rfam family "Bacterial small subunit ribosomal RNA", at positions 29 to 507 of the family's 1533-position model. The record is from RNAcentral.
AGCGAACGCUGGCGGCAGGCCUAACACAUGCAAGUCGAACGAACUCUUCGGAGUUAGUGGCGGACGGGUGAGUAACACGUGGGAACGUGCCUUUAGGUUCGGAAUAACUCAGGGAAACUUGUGCUAAUACCGAAUGUGCCCUUCGGGGGAAAGAUUUAUCGCCUUUAGAGCGGCCCGCGUCUGAUUAGCUAGUUGGUGAGGUAAAGGCUCACCAAGGCGACGAUCAGUAGCUGGUCUGAGAGGAUGAUCAGCCACAUUGGGACUGAGACACGGCCCAAACUCCUACGGGAGGCAGCAGUGGGGAAUCUUGCGCAAUGGGCGAAAGCCUGACGCAGCCAUGCCGCGUGAAUGAUGAAGGUCUUAGGAUUGUAAAAUUCUUACACCGGGGACGAUAAUGACGGUACCCGGAGAAGAAGCCCCGGCUAACUUCGUG